This is a long non-coding RNA of Zalophus californianus (California sea lion), 2522 nucleotides long. RefSeq lists it as uncharacterized. The transcript has 3 exons. The record is from RefSeq and is a predicted model, not a curated record. Lineage: Eukaryota; Metazoa; Chordata; Mammalia; Carnivora; Otariidae.
CCCUGCUCAUGCUCUCUCAUUCUCUCUGGCAGGUAAAUAAAUAAAAUCUUAAAACAAAAAACAAAAAACAAAAUAAAAACACCACAAUGUGUAUAUUUUAUAUGUCCUAGGGCAGCCUACCUGGCAUUAAUGAGACAUUUCUUAGUGGUCACUUUUAAGACAUUUUUCACAUGUGUGGUUUGUGCUCCUAAACCAGUCCCUAAGUUCUUUGAGGUAGGGACUAUUUGAGGGUGUAUUUCUCUAGGGUGUCCUAAAGCUCAAACUUUAAUAUGCAUGGGCCUCAAUAGAGGAUCUUGCUAAAAUGAAAAUGCUGAUUCAGCAGGAAUGGGAUUGGGGCUGAGAUUCUGCAUUUCUUUUUUUUUCAAUAUUUUAUUUAUUUAUUUGACAUAGAGAGAGAGAGACAGAGACAGAGUGAGCACAAGCAGGGGGAGUGGCAGACAGAGGCAGAGGGAGAAGCAGGCUCCCCACAGAGAUGGGGGAGCCCAAUGUGGGACUUGAUCCCAGGACUCUGGGACCGUGACCUGAGCCGAAGGCAGUCGCCCAAACAACUGACCCACCGAGCCGCCCGAGAUUUUGCAUUUCUAAGCAGCUCCCAGGUAUUGCUGCUGGUUGGAGGACCACCAUUUGAGUAGCAAGACCCUAAAACACCCAGGAUGGUGCCUCAACAUAAACAAGUAAAACUUUAUAUUGGUAGUAGUUCCAACCAAAUUUCUCCUGUGAGAACCUGACCCCUUCAAGUAAAUCCUAUCUCACGAUCAAAGGUAAGUCCUCUCCCCUUGGGUCAUGACACUGCCCUCUAAACUAAUUGAAGCCUGAGGACAUGAUUCUGUUAUAAUGCAAUUGUUUGAAUUUGUGUUUAAAUUGGAGCAGUCUGAGUGGUUUUACUAAUGUCAUUUGAGAGGACUGGUGAAUUAUUUGGGUGUGCAUGGCCCAGCCCUGAUACGCUAGGCCACUCUUGGUAAGAGCCACAGUUAAUACUAGCUGAUCCCAUAAACGGGAGCCCACACUAGCCUGCAUAGAGUGUGGAGAGUCAUAACUCGCCUUCUGGAUAAGGGGCCCUCACUUUUCUCCCAGAUGGGUUAAGUAGGUGGAGGCAGAAACCAAGCUUACUUUUGUUGACCUGUGUCGAGUUAAGUCUCUGUUCCCUGUAAGAAGUCCUGCUCAGAGGCCAAAAGCCCCACCUUAGUUUCACCUUCAAAACUAGGAAAAUCAGUCUUUGACUAUACUAAGCAGACUUAAAUAAAUGCUUUUGAACCAGGAGGUUCAGACCAGAAGGAUUGGUGGGCAUGAAUGAAGCUACAGAAAUGUCUGACUGGUCUCAUGGCCUGGCACCGAUAGAAGGCCAGUCCAGCCUCUCAGGACCUCGGUUUGCUUAUCAGCAAAAUCAAGGUGUUGGACUGGAGGCUUCUUAUCAGCGCUAAGAGUCUGUGGUUCUGAUCACCAUAUCAGGGAAAGGCACGGGAGACAAGAAUUCCACACUUGGCUCCGUAACAGCACAGUGUGACCGGGAGCCUCUUGGUGGGUUCUUCUCUUGCUGGUCUCAGCCCCAGUGCUUGUCCUAACCAGGCGCUAAGUGACCCUUUCCUAGACUAUUGGGUGCCACACAUCCGCCAGCCUGGUGUAGAAAGACUUGAAAAGAUGUACCCUGUGCUGCCACCUAAUGGCUCCAAUUCUCUCAAAGCGAUUCUUCAGCACCAUUUGGAUGUUACAGAAUCUCUAGGCCCUCUAUAAAACACAGUCCACCAGCGAUGAGAACCUAAGGUGAGAGAACAAACAUAGGGUACCUCCAAGGGCCACCUCAUCACGGGAGUCAGGGACUAUGACUGUAAGAACCAUAACUUUUUUUUUUUUAACUUGGUGAUUUCCUCCUUGUUAUUUCCUGUCUGUUUCCCCGUAAUGAUUAACAGUAAAACUCUAAAAACAAAAAGGGCCAAGGUGUUUGUUUUCAAGGGCAGCAAGGAAGCAAGGAACUGGGGGAGACAGCACUCCAGGGGUUGGGGUAAACAACUCCAGGGGAUGGAGUGGGUGGAAGGAGCUGAAUAGCUGGAAGGAAAGCAGGUUGAGUCCUCAGGCUCAUUUGAAAAAGGAAAGAGGGGGUGGAAUAAAGUUGUGUUCUAGUGGGAAUGAAGGUAACGGUCUUAAUAGCAUUGUCAUUCUUUCCUGUUUUGUCUUCAGAUGAACCAGUCUAUUUUCAAUCCAAGAAGAUGAAGCAAAUGGAUAGCUGUAGACUAGUGUUCUAGUUCAAGGGCCUUUGUAGGAAAUGAUACUCCUAGAGUGAAGAUCCCAAAUACAGAAGUCUACAGAAGGGCCAGGCAGAUAAGGUGAAAGCCUUGAAUACAUUCAUUCAAUAAAUCAAGAAGCAUUGAUUGAGCACCUAAUAUAUGCGAAGUAAUGUUCAAGAAAAACACAUCACCUUGGGAUCCGAUUUUGCAAGUUCUGCUUAUCACAGGAACUAGAAGAUUCUGAUGAAUGAGGAUGGGACUUCAGUUCUUUUCCAUGGUGUGAAUAAAAAGUCGACUCUG